AUUGAACGCUGGCGGCAUGCCUUACACAUGCAAGUCGAGCGCGAAAGGGGGCAACCCCGAGUAGAGCGGCGGACGGGUGAGUAACGCAUCGGAACGUGCCCAGUAGUGGGGGACAACCUCGAGAAAUCGAGGCUAAUACCGCAUACGACCCACGGGUGAAAGCGGGGGACCGCAAGGCCUCGCGCUAUUGGAGCGGCCGAUGUCCGAUUAGCUAGUUGGCGGGGUAAGAGCCCACCAAGGCGACGAUCGGUAGCUGGUCUGAGAGGACGACCAGCCACACUGGGACUGAGACACGGCCCAGACUCCUACGGGAGGCAGCAGUGGGGAAUUUUGGACAAUGGGGGCAACCCUGAUCCAGCCAUGCCGCGUGCGGGAAGAAGGCCU
RNAcentral lists this ribosomal RNA (384 nucleotides) under uncultured bacterium. RNAcentral's name for it is "bacterial SSU rRNA". It matches the Rfam family "Bacterial small subunit ribosomal RNA", at positions 29 to 417 of the family's 1533-position model. The record is from RNAcentral.